This 487-nucleotide ribosomal RNA is filed under the name uncultured bacterium. RNAcentral's name for it is "bacterial SSU rRNA". It matches the Rfam family "Bacterial small subunit ribosomal RNA", at positions 501 to 987 of the family's 1533-position model. The record is from RNAcentral.
CUACGUGCCAGCAGCCGCGGUAAUACGUAGGGUGCGAGCGUUAAUCGGAAUUACUGGGCGUAAAGCGAGCGCAGACGGUUAUUUAAGCAGGAUGUGAAAUCCCCGGGCUUAACCUGGGAACUGCGUUCUGAACUGGAUAGCUAGAGUGUGUCAGAGGGGGGUAGAAUUCCACGUGUAGCAGUGAAAUGCGUAGAGAUGUGGAGGAAUACCGAUGGCGAAGGCAGCCCCCUGGGAUAACACUGACGUUCAUGCUCGAAAGCGUGGGUAGCAAACAGGAUUAGAUACCCUGGUAGUCCACGCCCUAAACGAUGUCGAUUAGCUGUUGGGCAACUUGAUUGCUUAGUAGCGUAGCUAACGCGUGAAAUCGACCGCCUGGGGAGUACGGUCGCAAGAUUAAAACUCAAAGGAAUUGACGGGGACCCGCACAAGCGGUGGAUGAUGUGGAUUAAUUCGAUGCAACGCGAAGAACCUUACCUGGUCUUGACAU